RNAcentral lists this ribosomal RNA (390 nucleotides) under uncultured bacterium. RNAcentral's name for it is "bacterial SSU rRNA". It matches the Rfam family "Bacterial small subunit ribosomal RNA", at positions 29 to 420 of the family's 1533-position model. The record is from RNAcentral.
AUUGAACGCUGGCGGCAUGCUUUAUACAUGCAAGUCGAACGGCAGCACGGGGGCAACCCUGGUGGCGAGUGGCGAACGGGUGAGUAAUACAUCGGAACGUACCCAGUGGUGGGGGAUAACCUACCGAAAGGUAGGCUAAUACCGCAUAAGCUCGAGAGAGGAAAGCGGGGGACCGCAAGGCCUCGCGCGACUGGAGCGGCCGAUGUCCGAUUAGCUAGUUGGUGGGGUAAAGGCUUACCAAGGCGACGAUCGGUAGCUGGUCUGAGAGGAUGAUCAGCCACACUGGGACUGAGACACGGCCCAGACUCCUACGGGAGGCAGCAGUGGGGAAUUUUGGACAAUGGGGGCAACCCUGAUCCAGCCAUGCCGCGUGAGUGAAGAAGGCCUCGG